RNAcentral lists this ribosomal RNA (261 nucleotides) under Ditylum brightwellii. RNAcentral's name for it is "partial Bacterial large subunit ribosomal RNA". It matches the Rfam family "Bacterial large subunit ribosomal RNA", at positions 321 to 583 of the family's 2925-position model. The record is from RNAcentral. Lineage: Eukaryota; Bacillariophyta; Thalassiosirophyceae; Lithodesmiales; Lithodesmiaceae.
AGUCAUAUGAAGUCGAAAGGUCUGGGAAGGCCAACCGUAGGGGGUAAUAGUCCCGUAGACGACAAUAUGAGUACUGGCGGUGUAUCCUGAGUACGGCGGAACACGUGGAAUUCCGUCGGAAUCUAGGAGGACCAUCUCCUAAGGCUAAAUACUCUCUAGUGACCGAUAGUGAACCAGUACCGUGAGGGAAAGGUGAAAAGUACCCCGGAAGGGGAGUGAAAGAGAACUUGAAACCGUGUGCUUACAAGUAGUCAGAGCCCG